UUAUGAGCGCUGUAAACCUGCUGAGCCUGGCUGGGUGUCUGAAAAACAUCACACUUCAAAAUAAAAAUGUUGAAGUGCAAGACGUGAUCGACUGGUAUGUUCUUCAGCGAACAAGAACACAGUUUGAAAGGUUGCAAGAAGGACUCCGUUCUCUCUGUGUAAUGGAUUCUAUGAAGGCCCACCCUGAAACCUUCAAACCUAUUUUCUGUCAAUCGACAGAGAAGCUGACUGCUGAUGUGCUUGAAGAGCUAUUCAAAGAGCAGCGAUCUGACUGUGGGAGUAACAAGUUUGAGAGAGAAAAUGAAGCAGUAUGUCAUUGGAGGGAUUAUCUCUUGCAUGUAGAGAUGGGGAUUUGUGGAGUUACCCUGGAGGGCAUCCUUGUCUUUGCCACAGGAAGUGACAGUGUACCAGCAUUGGGCUUCAACCCUGCUCCAACUGUUGAAUUUUUGCAUGAUGGUUCACGGUUUCCACUUGCAAACACAUGUUCCAACAUAUUAAGGGUACCAUGCAGGCAUUCAUACGAGUCCUUCAGGGAUGAUAUGGACUUUGGAAUUAAAAAUUCCCCAGGCUUUGGAAGGGCAUAAACAAAUUCCUUUGCUUACCGUACCUGUAGUCAAAGGGCACAAGUAUGUUCGAUCCUAAGAACAAUGUUAUGCAUGCCAAAGUGCUGCUAGAAUUUUUGUUUGUCAUUUUUGUUAUCUAUAAUUCUUUGUACACUUAAAUUUAGCAAGUGAGUCACCUUUGGUUGAGAAUUCUUACCUGUAGUUAUUAUUAUUGCAGAUAUUUAGCAGACACCUUUAUUAAGCACUACAAUUCAAUUUACUAAAAUAUUAAAAUGUAAUAGUUCAAUCUGUCAAUAUUAACAUCAGUGCUGAAAUGUUACAAGCCUUUAAAUAAAAGUAUAGGCUGGAUCUUUUCCCUCCUAAGGAUUUUUGGUAAUAGAGAAUUCUUAACAGUUGUUAAGUUGUUCCAAGAAAGAACAUUUUACUUUUCCUCCUUAUUAAUAAACACUGUUUGCAUUUC
Molecule: long non-coding RNA, 1023 nt
Organism: Acipenser ruthenus (sterlet)
Lineage: Eukaryota; Metazoa; Chordata; Actinopteri; Acipenseriformes; Acipenseridae
Exons: 3
Source: RefSeq, a predicted model, not a curated record